RNAcentral lists this ribosomal RNA (250 nucleotides) under uncultured prokaryote. RNAcentral describes it as "partial 16S ribosomal RNA". It matches the Rfam family "Bacterial small subunit ribosomal RNA", at positions 524 to 773 of the family's 1533-position model. The record is from RNAcentral.
UACGUAGGGGGCAAGCGUUAUCCGGAUUUACUGGGUGUAAAGGGAGCGUAGACGGCUGCGCAAGUCAGAUGUGAAAGCUCGGGGCUCAACUCCGGAACUGCAUUUGAAACUGUGCUGCUUGAGUGCCGGAGAGGUAAGCGGAAUUCCUAGUGUAGCGGUGAAAUGCGUAGAUAUUAGGAAGAACACCAGUGGCGAAGGCGGCUUACUGGACGGUAACAGACGUUGAGGCUCGAAAGCGUGGGGAGCAAAC